RNAcentral lists this non-coding RNA (512 nucleotides) under Glossina morsitans morsitans. RNAcentral's name for it is "eukaryotic small subunit ribosomal RNA". It matches the Rfam family "Eukaryotic small subunit ribosomal RNA", at positions 4 to 584 of the family's 1831-position model. The record is from RNAcentral. Lineage: Eukaryota; Metazoa; Arthropoda; Insecta; Diptera; Glossinidae.
CUGGUCUAUCCUGCCAAUAUUCGUAUGCUUGUCACAAAGAUUAAGCCAUGCACAACUAUGUAUACACGAAUUAAAAGUGAUACCGCAAAAGGCUCAUUAUAUUCGUUACGGUCCCUUAGACCUGGAAAACAGUGGUCACUCUAGAGCUAAUACAUGCAAUAUAAACACGAUCCAAAUGAACGUGUGCUUGUAUUUGACUAAAACCAAGCGACGACCAUUUUGUCGUACACCGACGAUAGGUCUUUCAUAUGUCUACCCUACCACCUUUUGAUAGUAGUAUUUGGGACUACCAUGGUUAGAUUCCGCAGAGAAACGGCUACGACAUCUAAGGAAGGCAGCAGGCACAUAACUUACCCACUCCCAGCACGGUGAGGUAGUGACGAAAAAUAACAAUGCACGACUCAUAUACGAGGCCCUGUGCUUGCAAUGAAUAUGCUUGAAAUCCUUUAACAAGGACCUAUUGUAGGCCAAGUCUGGCGCCAACUUAAAAUUUAACGGAAUUGGCGGAAAAG